RNAcentral lists this ribosomal RNA (970 nucleotides) under Triticum aestivum (bread wheat). Its description in RNAcentral is "partial small subunit ribosomal RNA". Lineage: Eukaryota; Viridiplantae; Streptophyta; Magnoliopsida; Poales; Poaceae. The record is from RNAcentral.
CUUUACUCGUUGAACCCAGCUCGUUCCUCUCCUCGUCUUCUCUGCUAUCCCAAGAACAGAACCAGCCACCCACCUCUCUCUCUCUCCCCAAGAACAGAGCAUGGCCGCCGCAGCCUCGAUCUGCCCCGUCCGGGCAUCUCCGGCGACACGGUGAACACCUACAGAUUCUCCUCGUCCCCCUCUACCAUUUCCCCCUAUUUAUUUUAUCCGCCGCCGCCAAAAACGUCGCCACCACUCAAUCCUAGCGCUGCCUGAUUCAGGUCCGGUGGGCUUGCCACCGGCUGCAGCGGCAACGACGUCUCCAUGCCUACAUCCUCCCCCAGCGCAGCCACACGCACGAGGCAUGCAGCCACGGGCGUCGGGCGUGUGCGGCUUCACCGGCGCUGCUCGGUCGCAUGGCUCUGCUGCUAACGGUGUGGAACUAGCCACAUCCUACUGCUACUACUGCAAGAUAAAUAGACCAAGGUGAAUAGAUGCCCAUGGACUGAUUCAAACCAAGGUGAGGAUAGACAAGAAGUCAAGCAAGAAGGGCUAACACAACAAGGUACUUGAUUAGUACCUGAUGGCGCAUGCAACCCAAAGGGCUUCACCGCAGUGAAGGACAGCAGUGUGGCAGAAGGUGAAAAGGCAAGUGGUGGUGGUACUCCAGUGUAUGUGUGUGUGUGAGGUGGAAUGGACCACAGUGAAAGGAAUGGCUCCUAUUUAUAGUGGGGUUAGUAGCUAUUUCGGUUUGGAGAGGCAUUACAUCUGGCAUGCAUGCGUGGUUAGGCUUGCAUGCAUGCCUCCACUUGUGUCUCUUGUAGGCUGUACUAGGGACAAGUGUAAUUUGCUUGACUGGCCAUUAGUUGGCAUUUACUUUAUGUGGAAAAAAAUGAGACCAAGAUCUGAUUAUAAAUUUGUAGAAUAUAUGGAGGUUUGGAAAAUAUUUUGUUGUGCAUGGUCAAAUGCUAUUUGCUAUAAUAAAAAUUAA